This 1481-nucleotide ribosomal RNA is filed under the name metagenome. RNAcentral describes it as "bacterial SSU rRNA". It matches the Rfam family "Bacterial small subunit ribosomal RNA". The record is from RNAcentral.
AGAGUUUGAUUCUGGCUCAGGAUGAACGCUAGCGGCAGGCCUAAUACAUGCAAGUCGAGGGGCAGCAGGGGUAGCAAUACUCGCUGGCGACCGGCGCACGGGUGCGUAACACGUAUGCAACUUUCCUUCAACUGGAAGAUAGCCCGAAGAAAUUCGGAUUAAUAUUCAUAGUUAUAUGAAAUGGCAUCAUUUUAUAUUUAAAGCUCAGGCGGUUGAAGAUGGGCAUGCGUUCGAUUAGCUAGUUGGUGAGGUAAUGGCUCACCAAGGCUACGAUCGAUAGGGGAUCUGAGAGGAUUAACCCCCACACUGGUACUGAGACACGGACCAGACUCCUACGGGAGGCAGCAGUAAGGAAUAUUGGACAAUGGAGGCAACUCUGAUCCAGCCAUGCCGCGUGAAGGAUGAAGGUCCUAUGGAUUGUAAACUUCUUUUGAACGGGAGAAAACCUUCGGUCGUGUACCGAAGCUGAUAGUACCGUUAGAAUAAGGGUCGGCUAACUUCGUGCCAGCAGCCGCGGUAAUACGAAGGACCCGAGCGUUAUCCGGAUUUAUUGGGUUUAAAGGGUGCGUAGGCGGAAUGGUAAGUCAGUGGUGAAAUCUUGUGGCUUAACUGCAAAACUGCCAUUGAUACUGCCAAUCUUGAGUACAUUUGAUGUGGGCGGAAUGUGCCAUGUAGUGGUGAAAUACUUAGAUAUGGCACAGAACACCGAUCGCGAAGGCAGCUCACAAAACUGUUACUGACGCUGAGGCACGAAAGCGUGGGGAUCAAACAGGAUUAGAUACCCUGGUAGUCCACGCCUUAAACUAUGAUUACUCGAUGUGUGCGAUACACAGUACGCGUCUAAGCGAAAGCGUUAAGUAAUCCACCUGGGGAGUACGGUCGCAAGAUUGAAACUCAAAGAAAUUGACGGGGGCCCGCACAAGCGGAGGAGCAUGUGGUUUAAUUCGAUGAUACGCGAGGAACCUUACCUGGGCUUGAAAGUUAGUGAAUGCUGUGGAAACAUGGCAGGCCGCAAGGACACGAAACUAGGUGCUGCAUGGCUGUCGUCAGCUCGUGCCGUGAGGUGUUGGGUUAAGUCCCGCAACGAGCGCAACCCCUAUCUUUAGUUGCCAGCGAGUAAUGUCGGGGACUCUAAAGAAACUGCCCGUGCAAACGGUGAGGAAGGUGGGGAUGACGCCAAGUCAGCACGGCCCUUACGUCCAGGGCUACACACGUGCUACAAUGGCGAGUACAAAGGGCAGCUACAUGGUGACAUGAUGCUAAUCUCUAAAACUCGUCUCGGUUCGGAUUGAAGUCUGCAAUUCGACUUCAUGAAGCUGGAUUCGCUAGUAAUCGAAUAUCAGCAAUGAUUCGGUGAAUACGUUCCCGGGCCUUGUACACACCGCCCGUCAAGCAAUGGAAGCUGAGGGUACUUAAAGUCGAUAACCGCAAGGAGUCGCCUAGGGUAAAAUCGGUAACUGGUGUUAAGUCGUAACAAGGUA